GAUUAUAAAUUUAAUUAUUAUUAUUGAUUUUUUAAAGUAUUAUUUUAUUUAUUAUUAUAAAAGAAAAAUUAAUUUUUUAUUAUAGUUUACUAGUAAAGUGAUUGAAUUUAUUUAUAUAUUAAUAAGAAAAAUUUAUUUUUUGUACCUUGUGUAUCAGGGUUGAUUAAUUUUAUAAUUAUUAUUAAUUUUUCUCGAAUUAAGAAGAGCUAAUUAUGUAUAUGUUUAAUUUUUUCAUAAAUUUUCAUAAUAUAUAAUUUGAAAUGAAAUGUUAUUCGUUUCUUAAUAUAUCUAGUUUUUUAAGAAAAGAAUUUAAUUCUCUUAUUAUUUAUUAUUAGUUAAUUUUUAGUUAAUAAUUUUUAGUAUGAAAUAAAUAAAGGGAUAAGCUUUUAUUUUAAUAAUUAAAAAUUUAUUUGGUUUUAUUUUUUGUAUAAUUUAAAUUGUUAAUCAUUUUUAUAAUAUAAUAGUUAAUUUUAUUUAAUUAAUGAUUUAUAUUUAUUUUAAUUUUUUUAUUAAAAAUUUAUGUUUAAUUUUUUAGCUUUUUUAUAAUGAUUAAAUUAGUAGAUAAAUAUGUAUUUUAUUAUUUAUUUUUAAGAUAAUAAAAAGGAACUCGGCAAAUAAAUUUUUCGCCUGUUUAUUAAAAACAUGUCUUUUUGAUUAUAAUUUAAGGUUUAAUCUGCUCAAUGAUUUAUUAAAUUGCCGCAGUAUUUUGACUGUGCAAAGGUAGCAUAAUAAUUAGCUUUUUUAUUGAGAGCUGGAAUGAAUGAUUGGACGAAAAAAUUUCUGUCUCUUUAUUAUUUAUUAUUUAAUUUAACUUUUAAGUUAAAGGCUUAAAUUUUUUUAAAAGACGAGAAGACCCUAUAGAGUUUUAUUUUUAUUUUUUGAUUAAUUUUUAGAAUUUAAAAUAUUUUAUAAAAUAAAAAAUUUAGUUGGGGUGACUGAAAGAUUAAUUAAACUCUUUUAAUUGAAAUCAUUUAUUUAUGAAUAGAGAAAUUAUUUUUAUAAAUUUAAAAUAAAUUACCUUAGGGAUAACAGCGUUAUUUUUCUUUAGAGUUCUUAUUGAAAGGAAAGAUUGCGACCUCGAUGUUGGAUUAAAAUUUAUUUUUGGUGUAGAAGCUUAAAUAUUAAGUCUGUUCGACUUUUAAAAUUUUACAUGAUCUGAGUUUAAACCGGUGUAAGCCAGGUUGGUUUCUAUCUUUAAAUUUUUAAUAUAUUUUAGUACGAAAGGACCAAAUAUAUAAUAUAUUAUUUUAUUUUGAAUAAUAUU
Molecule: ribosomal RNA, 1264 nt
Filed under: Abscondita chinensis
Lineage: Eukaryota; Metazoa; Arthropoda; Insecta; Coleoptera; Lampyridae
Description: 16S ribosomal RNA
Rfam family: Archaeal large subunit ribosomal RNA (bases 1025-1183)
Source: RNAcentral